Molecule: ribosomal RNA, 468 nt
Filed under: uncultured bacterium
Lineage: Bacteria
Description: partial 16S ribosomal RNA
Rfam family: Bacterial small subunit ribosomal RNA
Source: RNAcentral
GACGAACGCUGGCGGCGUGCUUAACACAUGCAAGUCGAACGGAAAGGCCCUGCUUUUGUGGGGUGCUCGCGUGGCGAGCGGGUGAGUAACCUGUGAGUAACCUUCCCUUGACUGUGGGAUGACUUCAGGCAACUGCGGCUCCUACCGGAUCGGGGGUCCUGCUGCAUGGUGGGGGUUGGAAAGUUUCGGCGGUUGGGGCUUGACUCGCGGUUUCUCAGCUUUUUGGUGGGGUAGUGGCUUACCAAGGCUGUGACGGAUAUCCGGCCUGAGAGCGGGACCGGCCACAAUGGGACUGAGAUACGGCGCAGAGUCCAACAGGAGGCAGCGGGGGGGAAUAUGGCACAAUGGGCGGAAGCGUGAUGCAGCAGCGCCGCGUGCGGGAUGACGGCCUUCGGGUUGGAAACCGCAUUCGCCUGUGACGAAGCGUGAGUGACGUUAAUGGGUAAAGAAGCACCGGCUAACUACGUG